GAUGAACGCUGACAGAAUGCUUAACACAUGCAAGUCGAUUCGAAGUUCCCUUCGGGGAAUGGAGGAUGGCGGACGGGUGAGUAACGCGUAAGGAACUUGCCUUUUGGCCUGGGACAACUGUUGGAAACGACAGCUAAUACCGGAUAUUAUGAGAUUCUCGCAUGGGAAACUUAUGAAAGCUAUAUGCGCCAAAAGAGAGCCUUGCGUUCCAUUAGCUAGUUGGUGGGGUAACGGCCCACCAAGGCGACGAUGGAUAGCCGGCCUGAGAGGGUGAACGGCCACAAGGGGACUGAGACACGGCCCUUACUCCUACGGGAGGCAGCAGUGGGGAAUAUUGGACAAUGGGCCACAAGCCUGAUCCAGCAAUUCUGUGUGCACGAUGAAGGUUUUCGGAUCGUAAAGUGCUUUCAGUUGGGAAGAAGAAAGUGACGGUACCAACAGAAGAAGCGACGGCUAAAUACGUGCCAGCAGCCGCGGUAAUACGUAUGUCGCAAGCGUUAUCCGGAUUUAUUGGGCGUAAAGCGCGUCUAGGCGGAAAAGAAAGUCUGAUGUUAAAAUGCGGGGCUCAACUCCGUAUUGCGUUGGAAACUGCUUUUCUAGAGUACUGGAGAGGUGGGCGGAACUACAAGUGUAGAGGUGAAAUUCGUAGAUAUUUGUAGGAAUGCCGAUGGAGAAGUCAGCUCACUGGACAGAUACUGACGCUAAAGCGCGAAAGCGUGGGGAGCAAACAGG
Molecule: ribosomal RNA, 732 nt
Filed under: uncultured bacterium
Lineage: Bacteria
Description: bacterial SSU rRNA
Rfam family: Bacterial small subunit ribosomal RNA
Source: RNAcentral